This 741-nucleotide ribosomal RNA is filed under the name uncultured bacterium. RNAcentral describes it as "bacterial SSU rRNA". It matches the Rfam family "Bacterial small subunit ribosomal RNA", at positions 8 to 795 of the family's 1533-position model. The record is from RNAcentral.
AGAGUUUGAUCCUGGCUCAGAACGAACGCUGGCGGCAGGCCUAACACAUGCAAGUCAAACGGAGCCUUCGGGCUUAGUGGCGGACGGGUUAGUAACGCGUGGGAACGUACCCUUUUCUACGGAAUAGCCUUUGGAAACGAAGAGUAAUACCGUAUACGCCCUUCGGGGGAAAGAUUUAUCGGAGAAGGAUCGGCCCGCGUUAGAUUAGAUAGUUGGUGGGGUAAAGGCCUACCAAGUCUACGAUCUAUAGCUGGUUUUAGAGGAUGAUCAGCAACACUGGGACUGAGACACGGCCCAGACUCCUACGGGAGGCAGCAGUGGGGAAUCUUAGACAAUGGGCGCAAGCCUGAUCUAGCCAUGCCGCGUGAGUGAAGAAGGCCUUAGGGUCGUAAAGCUCUUUCGCCUGUGAUGAUAAUGACAGUAGCAGGUAAAGAAACCCCGGCUAACUCCGUGCCAGCAGCCGCGGUAAUACGGAGGGGGUUAGCGUUGUUCGGAAUUACUGGGCGUAAAGCGCACGUAGGCGGAUUGGAAAGUUAGAGGUGAAAUCCCAGGGCUCAACCCUGGAACUGCCUUUAAAACUCCCAGUCUUGAGUUCGAGAGAGGUGAGUGGAAUUCCAAGUGUAGAGGUGAAAUUCGUAGAUAUUUGGAGGAACACCAGUGGCGAAGGCGGCUCACUGGCUCGAUACUGACGCUGAGGUGCGAAAGUGUGGGGAGCAAACAGGAUUAGAUACCCUGGUAGUC